UAUCAGUUUAAAUUCAGUCCAAGUUCUGAUGAAGGAAAAAAAAUAAUCUAAUUUUUUGUAUUUCAUUGAAAGAAAUGGGAGUAAAAUGUGAGCAGCUUCUGGAAACAUAGAUCUGUGAAUCCCACUGAUUUCAACCGGUUCCGUUUUACAGUCCAAACAAUCCGACCAGUCAGGCAGAAGUACUGAAAUAGUUUAUUUCUGUUUUUUGGACAUAAAACAAAGAUUACCAGUCUGAGGUUGCUACGGUGACCGUUACACGAAAACAUCACUGCAAUUAUUGGAUUCAGAAAAAACAAACACUGCAACAGUGAGACAAUAUGUGCAAUAAAUGUUCAAACACUCUUCAGUGCUGACUGACAGACGUCUGAGUAAAUGUUAGAAAAAUACGGGCGCCGUUUUCAUCAUGCUGCAUCCGCCCGGAUCAGAACCAGCGCCUGAUCCUACGCUACGGGUUCUACACAGAACUUAUUUUACUUUGAAAAGUCCCGAUCCGGUUCUGGUCUCUUUACAUUUCAUAAACAAAAGUCAGCUUUGCUUUGUCUGAAGAUUUGAUUUAAAUCAUUAAUUUAACCAAUCGUACCUCAGAUUUAUUAACGGUUUCAGUCCAGACGUGCUGCCGGACUGAUUAUCGGUCAGAUCUACUGGACAAUUCCAACAAGAUGAUUCAUAUUUACGUUGUUUUUUACAUAAAGUAGAUAAAUAUUAACUGGUACCAUAAAAGCACAAUAAAAAAUGCUUUACCUCCAAUUCCAAAUGAAACGUGAUUAUAAAUAACGCUGAGAUGCAGGUGAUUCUCUGAAGUCUGUGCCUUUUGGGUCUCAGGUUGCUAAAAAUAUCCCACAAAAAUUGUUUUUGAACACUGCAUCUACUGAACCUCCAAGAAAAUGUGUCUCCCCACCUUAUGCAUGAAAUCCCAGACAUUAAUACGAAUUUCUUAAGUUGCUUUAAAUUCAACCCCGUAACGGGACAAUUUGAUUCCUGUCAGUAUAACUGCAUAACAUAAUUAAACUAAUUCUUUCUGACAUCACCUGUCCCUGAUUAAAUUAACUAAUUGUAAGUAUAUUUUAUUUGAUUCUGAAUCAUAAUAAUUGGACUGAUAAGUAGAAUAUGGCAACUUGAUGUAAAAGCGCUUCUCAUGUUUUUGAAUCAUUCUUUAAACUUUGCAUACAGUCCAACAAAUAUUAGUCUAAUAUUUUGCUGUUAUUAUAGAAAAAAUUACAACAAUGUAUCGCGUUGCGGGUUGAAUCCACCGGCUGGCUUCACAACAGUCCAUCCCUGGAACAAAACCACUGUUUCAGAAACGGGGUUGAAGAUUUUCACUAAAAGUUGCCAUAAGUUCAAAUCAGCUGGGGUAUGGAGCAACAAACAAGGAAUUAAUAUACUUUUCAAAGACCAUUCUUUACUUUUUCCCAAACAACAAUAAAUAUAAUUUACAUGCAUAACAGAGCUGAAAGGCUGAGCUGGACGAAUAACCAAAUAUAGGUAAAAAACUUUCCUAACAUUUAAUCUCUUUACAGUGUGAGCAGGAAGAGACUUCAGUGAUGUCACUUCCAGGGUGCAGAGGAAAUUGGACUGAACCAUUAUAAUUAGUAUGCUGUUACAGGGUUGAACAAAACUGGAGGGACAGGAUUAAAAAGUGCUAUUUUAUAUAUAAUUCAUAUAUUUUUCUCAUGUUUCUUUUAUUUGGGUUAAACUAGACCAAAAAAUGUUUAUAUUAGUAGAAAUAACUUGCAGUUACUGGAUAUUUUUAUUUGUUUUAUAUUAAUUGAAAAAUGAACAUUGGUCAGUGGGGACAUGCUCGUCUGGCUGAUUUCUACACUUCAACAAGCCAUAAAUUUUUUUAAAACAUGAUUUUUAAAAUAUAUUUGCAUAUUAUAUUACCAAAACACAUGGAUGUUUCCAUUUCUUGAUUUUCUCUAAAAAAAUUUGUUUGCAUUAUACGAAAAUCUUUGAGAUAAACCUGAGACACAAAAUGCACCGAAUUCGGAGAAUCACCCUGCAGCGGUGGGCACCGCUAGCUACAGAGCUAGCUACGCUAACCGUAAAGCAAUAAUUGGAAACAUUGGUUCCACUAAUGCUGAAGCGCUACAUCAACACAUUAUUCAGUGGAAGCUAAUGCUAACAUGCUACAUCAACACAUUAUUCAGUGGAAGCUAAUGCUAACAUGCUAACUUCAACAAUGCCAACAGUAAAAUGAGUGCUGUAGCAUAUCAUAGCGCCUACUGGGCUAAUUGUGUGGCCUUCCUGUACAGUUUGCGCUUCAGGAAGUGAUUCUUUGAAACAGUUUUACAGUGGUUGAGUUUUGCUUGUUAACUUUGUUCCAACAUUGAACUUUAUUCAACUGAAAUUGACCAACCAGUUGAGUAAAUUAUUGCUUUAGAAAUUAUCUGGAAAAGUUAAUUUAGGAGAAGCUAAGUGCGCUAAAUGUUUUCGAAGUUAGCAAAAGCAUUAAAGAGCAAAAAUAAUAAUUAGCUUUGCUAUUAGCGCAUUAGCAGAAGGUCACCUGUGCUGUGCCCUCUGAACCAAACACUUUUAAAUUUAUUCUUUUUAAGCUUUUUAGCAAAAGUUUUUACUGUUUACCUCCAAAUUGAUGCGUGUGAGGAGUUUAAGAAAACAAUCAAAAUAAAAAUGAAUUAUUUACUGGCAGCUGUAGCUGAUUUAAAGCCGAUUCUUUGCUGAGUCAUCUGAUAUUUUUCACCAAAAAACUGAUUCAGUCUUUGGGUUUUUCACAUCUGAAUGGUUCUUAAUGUUGGACUUGGAAAGAAAAUUAUAAAAAAAAAUCAUCCAAAGUUUUUCUUUGAGUCUAGAACUGCAAACAUAAAGAGGGAAACCGGAUCGGGACUUUUCCUGCUGCCGUCGCAGGUAACUGGAGAAAUCAGCUGAAACAUUUAAACAUGCAGCGAGUGAGCUACUGGAGCGGGGUGAGAGCGUGCAACGUGACGGAGCGCCGUGACUUUAAAUGUUCCAGCAGGAAAUGGCUCUGAUAUGUGGCUCAGCUGCAACCAGAAAACAGGAAACAAGAAGAAGAAACACCGAAACAUUAUAAACGAUUCGAUAAAAUCGAUUUGUUGUUCCAGAGAGUCGGAAAAUCCUGGAUCUGUUUCCAUGUCUGAGCGAAUCCACAGCAUCUAUCAGAAGGUUUGUGGUUCAGUUCCCUGAGCAAAAAGACUCCUAACGAACCGUCCUGCUGAUGUCAUCACUGUGAAGCGACGAUGUGAUCACUGUGGCGCAGUGAUGACAUCAUCGCCGUGCGCAGCGUGGAAACGGUUCCUCCGCUGGAUGGUUUCGGUCUGGAUGAAUCAACAAAGUGAAGCAUGCAGGAGAGAAAAAGUCUAAACACCAAAAUAUUCACAUCGUCCAGAAGUUCAGCGUUUACACUGGAUCCACAAAUUAGAUUCACAUCGUCACGGAAACAGGACAUGAGUCAUGAAGUCCUGCCUUAAAGGGACAGUUCAGGGUUCUGCAGGGCAGGUGUGAGGAGGCAGUAUCUUACCCGUCUCUGAACCAGUUCAUCAGUCGGCCAUCUUGAAACAACUCUGAAAGCGGUUUAUGUAAAAACUCGAUUCCAGGUUUUAGGACCCGGCAGUGAGCCGGAGAGCCGGGUCGGAAUCGGGCUCUGAUUGGCCGGUUCCUCAUGGAGGAGGGUUCAGACCAGAUGCUGCUAAAUGUCUGUAGCAUGAAUAUUAAACAUUUGCAGGAUUUUGUUUAAGUCAUAUUUCUGUUAAUGCUUAAUUUUCUAAACAUAAUAUUCACACCUUGUUUACUGAUGUUUUCUUUGUUUUAUAUUCAGAAACAUAAAUUAAGAAUUAAACCAACAAUGUUGUUAAAUAAAAUAAACGUUUUGACCAAAUAACAUGAUUACAUUUUUCUGUUAGGGACUUAAACAGUUUAUGAUCAGAUAUUGCAUCAUUAAUGUUAAUCUGAUAUUUCAUAACUUUUUAUUGGUAACAUUAAAACCUGCAGUGAUAAAAAGUGAAGAU
This is a long non-coding RNA of Poecilia latipinna (sailfin molly), 3980 nucleotides long. RefSeq lists it as uncharacterized. The record is from RefSeq and is a predicted model, not a curated record. The transcript is spliced from 2 exons. Lineage: Eukaryota; Metazoa; Chordata; Actinopteri; Cyprinodontiformes; Poeciliidae.